AAAUCUUUGCUAAUGUUUAAAUUUAAAGAAAUGUUUGGACCACUAAUGUGAGAGGUGAGUUUACUGAUUAAAAGUUGUUUUUCUUAUUAUUUCUUCAGAUACGAUGAAAAUGAAGGCACUUUUCAUUUGUCUGGUUGCCUUACUCUUCAUAAAUUACAGUGAGGCUUUGUGGUGUUAUGGAUGUGUUGGAAAAGGCUGUUCAGGUAGAAGAGAGGAAUGUGGCUCUCUUCUGCAAAAUCCUGUCUGCGCCAUCGUAGAUGCCCCCACCAUUUAUAUGAAAGGCUGCAUGAGUGAGUACAUCUGUAGGCAGCAACAGCAGGCUCCUGGUACCACUGCUGUCUGCUGCAGUACCAACUACUGCAACUAAUAAGGAGGACAUCAGCCGUGGAGAUGUCUCUAUAUGACCAUCACUAGCCAAGGAUAUAAAAUCAUUUACAGUAAUUAUUUACAUUUCAGGCAUGUGAUGUAUUAUUUGGUUCGUUUUGUUAAAUAAUGAGAAUGGGAAUUAUCAUUUCAAUUAAAUAAAAGAAUUAACCACA
Pangasianodon hypophthalmus (striped catfish) is the source of this 539-nucleotide long non-coding RNA. RefSeq lists it as uncharacterized. The record is from RefSeq and is a predicted model, not a curated record. The transcript has 3 exons. Lineage: Eukaryota; Metazoa; Chordata; Actinopteri; Siluriformes; Pangasiidae.